Molecule: ribosomal RNA, 570 nt
Filed under: Chaetothyriomycetidae sp.
Lineage: Eukaryota; Fungi; Ascomycota; Eurotiomycetes
Description: eukaryotic LSU rRNA
Rfam family: 5.8S ribosomal RNA (bases 211-364)
Source: RNAcentral
GUUCCGUAGGUGAACCUGCGGAAGGAUCAUUACUGAGUUAGGGUGCUCUGCGCCCGAUCUCCAACCCUUUGUUUAACUACUUUGUUGCUUUGGCAGGCCCGUCCUUCGGGGCCGCCGGGGGCGUUCAGUCGCCUCUGGCCCGUGCUCGCCAGUGGCCAAUUUAAAUUCUUCUUAACAAUGAAGUCUGAAUCUUAAUUAAAAUUUAAUUAAAACUUUCAACAACGGAUCUCUUGGUUCUGGCAUCGAUGAAGAACGCAGCGAAAUGCGAUAAGUAAUGUGAAUUGCAGAAUUCAGUGAAUCAUCGAAUCUUUGAACGCACAUUGCGCCCUUUGGUAUUCCGAAGGGCAUGCCUGUUCGAGCGUCAUUAUCAACCCUCAAGCCCGGCUUGUUAUUGGGUCCUGUAUCGUCAAAGAUAGGCUCAAAAGAUAAUGGCGGCGUCAAGAAUGACCCCAGGUGCAGCGAGCUUAUAGCAUACACUGAGGUGGUUCUCUUGGCCCGGCCUUUUGUUUUGGUUAAAUUCAUUUAACCAAUCAUUUUCUAAGGUUGACCUCGGAUCAGGUAGGAAUACCC